RNAcentral lists this unclassified non-coding RNA (622 nucleotides) under Hevea brasiliensis (rubber tree). Lineage: Eukaryota; Viridiplantae; Streptophyta; Magnoliopsida; Malpighiales; Euphorbiaceae. The record is from RNAcentral.
AGAGCGCGGAACAGAUAUUGUUGUUGCAACUCCUGGUCGGCUUAAUGACAUCCUUGAAAUGAAAAGAAUUGACUUUAGACAGGUUUCUCUUCUCGUGCUAGAUGAGGCUGAUCGUAUGCUUGACAUGGGUUUUGAACCUCAGAUCCGCAAGAUUGUAAAUGAGAUACCCCCACAAAGACAAACACUUAUGUACACAGCAACUUGGCCCAAAGAAGUGCGAAAAAUAGCCGGUGAUCUUCUUCGAAAUCCUGUCCAGGUUAAUAUUGGUAAUGUUGAUCAGCUUGCAGCAAACAAGUCUAUCACACAGUACAUUGAAGUAGUCCCGCAAAUGGAGAAGCAGAGACGGUUGGAGCAGAUUCUUAGAUCCCAAGAAAGGGGUUCUAAAGCUAUUAUAUUCUGUUCCACAAAGAAGUUGUGCGACCAACUUGCACGAAGUAUUGGUCGAAACUUUGGAGCUGCAGCUAUUCAUGGAGACAAGUCCCAGGGUGAGAGAGACUGGGUUCUCAACCAAUUUCGCGCUGGCAAGACCCCAAUUUUAGUAGCAACGGAUGUUGCUGCUAGAGGACUGGAUAUACCUGAUAUAAGAGUGGUGAUCAACUAUGAUUUUCCGACUGGGAUUGAG